This is a long non-coding RNA of Oncorhynchus tshawytscha (Chinook salmon), 2416 nucleotides long. Lineage: Eukaryota; Metazoa; Chordata; Actinopteri; Salmoniformes; Salmonidae. The record is from Ensembl.
UCCUCAUCAUUGCAGACCAUGAAUCAUCCUCAUCAUUGCAGACCAUGAAUCAUCCUCAUCAUUGCAGACCAUGAAUCAUCCUCAUCAUUGCAGACCAUAAAUCAUCCUCAUCAUUGCAGACCAUAAAUCAUCCUCAUCAUUGCAGACCAUAAAUCAUCCUCAUCAUUGCAGACCAUAAAUCAUCCUCAUCAUUGCAGACCAUAAAUCAUCCUCAUCACUGCAGACCAUAAAUCAUCCUCAUCAUUGCAGACCAUAAAUCAUCCUCAUCACUGCAGACCAUGAAUCAUCCUCAUCAUUGCAGACCAUAAAUCAUCCUCAUCACUGCAGACCAUGAAUCAUCCUCAUCAUUGCAGACCAUAAAUCAUCCUCAUCAUUGCAGACCAUAAAUCAUCCUCAUCAUUGCAGACCAUAAAUCAUCCUCAUUGCAGACCAUAAAUCAUCCUCAUUGCAGACCAUAAAUCAUCCUCAUUGCAGACCAUAAAUCAUCCUCAUUGCAGUUGGACAUAUAAUAUGGUAAGACAUUGCAUAAAGUCAUGGCUCACAACCUCACAGGCUCAACCUACCGAGACACCACACCAGGUAGGACAAUAGAACCAUAAGGAAAUGACUUGCUAUAUAAACAGGUGGAAUGACAAGGGUUCUCUCACAGCUAGCAAAUGAAGAAGCCAGCCACCCCCCCAAAAUGAGGAAAUCCUGCUGCUGCUGCGGCAGGGUAGCCUAGUGGUUAGAGCGUUGGACUAGUAACCGGAAGGUUGCAAGUUCAAACCCCGAGCUGACAAGGUACAAAUCUGUCGUUCUGCCCUUGAACAGGCAGUUAACCCACUGUUGCUAGGCCGUCAUUGAAAAUAAGAAUUGGUUCUUAACUGACUUGCCUAGUUAAAUAAAGGUAAAAUAAAAAUAAAUAAAAAAUAAAGAUAACCUUCCAAAAAAGACACUUCAGACUUUUAGAAAAGUAAAAAAAUAAUAUUUUAAAACCCAUCGUCCACAUUCACUUUGUUUCGCUACCAAACAAACUAAAAAUCCUACUAUUCCGAUGUAGUUUAGCUCAACCCAGUUGGUUCAACUCCACAAGGGGAAAUGGAUGGUUCCACAGAACAAGCUGCUACCAGACUCCGAUGAGAAUAUAACCAUUGGACAUAUAUGUCUCUUCCCUCACACAACUGCAGUCAGUGGUCACACUACCAGACGUUUGGGAUCCAUAAGCUCCACUCAACCCAUAGACACUGAUCUGAGUUCAGCUAUAACUGAACCCCCCCUCCCCCAUCCAUCCAAUUGAUAUUCAAGGUUAUGAUUGCAGGUAAGCUGAUUCUAGAUCUGUGUUUAAGGGCAUAACAUCAAACAAUCUUCAGUCAGAGGAAGAAAAUAGGUUUCCUUAAUAUCAGGAAUUACACCGUAAACUUCCUCAAGAAACAAAAAUCCCAGAAAUGUCACAUUCUCUCUGAUAUUCUCUAAAAAAAUUUAAAAAAAAAAAGAGGUAUGAAAUGAUGCUGUGAAUUUGCUUGUUUCACUUUAACAAUCCUUUGCGUCAUACCUUCCACCUCCAGUAUUCAUCUUUUCAAUAGGAGCAUUGCACUGUGGGGUGGGGUUGGGUGCAUUAUUGAAUUAAAACAUGUUUUUCGAAGUGCAGAACUUCAAAAGUGCCUAACAGGAAGUGGCAAAACGACGUAAUAAAAAACAUAGUGCAUCGGAAAACCAAAACCUGUAGAAAUAGAACACAAAAAAAGAAAACCCAAGUUCAUUCCAAAUAAAAAAAACUGGAUUAUGGAAGUUGUUUUUCCCUGUUGUGUAACACUCGUCCGUGUGUACAGUGUACCGUCUUCUGGUGUUGUAUGCAUGAAGUGUGUGUGCAAAUACAUCUCUUCACUAGAAUUUCCGCGGUUAGGUUCGUCACGGUCUAAAUUAAAAGACGUAUCCCUUGCCAAACCCUGGUUGUCGUUAGAUCUACGUUUUCAUUUCAAAUGACACGCUGUCCGAUAUAGAGGUUCUCUAUGUGGCUCCUGUCAAAACGAGUGGCCUCUACCGCUGGUCAGAGGCUCUCUAGGUGUCAAAACGAGUGGCUUCUACCUCUGACCAGAGGCUCUCUAGGUGUCAAAACGAGUGGCCUCUACCUCUGACCAGAGGCUCUCUAGGUGUCAAAAUGAGUGGCCUCUACCUCUGACCAGAGACUCUCUAGAAUAAUACACAUCAAUACCUAGUACAUAUCCCCAUCACCAUGAUACCUAGUACAUAGCACUAUACCAAUGAUACCUGGUACUUAUCCCCAUCACAACGAUUCCUAGUACUUAUCCCCAUCACAACGAUUCCUAGUACUUAUCCCCAUCACAACGAUACCUAGUACUUAUCCCCAUCACAACGAUUCCUAGUACUUAUCCCCAUCACAACGAUUCCUAGUACUUAUCCCCAUCACAACGAUUCC